Molecule: unclassified non-coding RNA, 349 nt
Filed under: soil metagenome
Description: partial contains 5.8S ribosomal RNA, internal transcribed spacer 2, and large subunit ribosomal RNA
Rfam family: 5.8S ribosomal RNA (bases 1-120)
Source: RNAcentral
GAUGAAGAACGUAGCGAAAUGCGAUAAGUAAUGUGAAUUGCAGAAUUCAGUGAAUCUUCGAAUCUUUGAACGCACAUUGCGCCCCCUGGUAUUCCGGGGGGCAUGCCUGUUCGAGCGUCAUUUCAACCCUCAAGCUCUGCUUGGUAUUGGGCGUCGCCGGGGAGUCUCCCCGGCGUGCCUCAAAGCCAUCGGCGGUGGUGCCUUUCUCUAAGCGUGGUAGAAUUUUUAUUCGCUUCUGAGUUGGGCUUCGCCUGCCGGACAAACCGGGCCCUCGCGGCCCACCUUCUCAGGUUGACCUCGGAUCAGGUAGGGAUACCCGCUGAACUUAAGCAUAUCAAUAAGCGGAGGA